CGUCUCAGUUCAGAUUGCAGGCUGCAACUCGCCUGCAUGAAGUCGGAAUUGCUAGUAAUCGCAGAUCAGCAUGCUGCGGUGAAUACGUUCCCGGGCCUUGUACACACCGCCCGUCACACCAUGGGAGUCGGUAACACCCGAAGUCGGUAGCCUAACCGUAAGGAGGGCGCCGCCGAAGGUGGGAUUGAUGACUGGGGUGAAGUCGUAACAAGGUAUC
Molecule: ribosomal RNA, 217 nt
Filed under: uncultured bacterium
Lineage: Bacteria
Description: partial 16S ribosomal RNA
Rfam family: Bacterial small subunit ribosomal RNA
Source: RNAcentral